UUUUCUUUUAGGGGGAGGUUUAUGGGGGUGGAAAAGGUGAGAGGGAGGCACUAGUUUUUUGUAAGGUUGUUGACAGAAGAUAGAGAGCACAGAUGAUGGUAUGCAUAUUACUAUAUAUAGAGAGGAGGAAUUGAUCAAUGGUGCAUCCUACUCCUUUGUGUUCUCUAUAUUUCUGUCAUCACCUUCACCCUCCAUUUCUCAUUUCCCCCCUCACUCUCUCUAUAUAUACCUCAUUUAUCUCUACAAGAACUAGAAUUUUACUCACCAAAAAAUCAUGUAUAAUUUACUGUUGUUGGAAAUCCUACAUCGACUACAUAUGUUAAGAAAUUUCAUAAUAUAUAAGUUGGUGCAAAACUUACCUCAUAAACCAGUUAUAUGAUGUUGAGUUAAGAUCAACUUCUUAAUGGAUGUUCAGCCUGGAAUUUACCUAGCUACUUUUCUCUACUAAUUGCAGCUGUUACAAUUAUACAAUACAUGGGUUUUAAAAAACAGUCUAUGGCUAUGAUUAAUGGCAAGAUCAUAAAAUGAUGAAAUGAAAUUAUAAUAUAUAUGUAAAUUAGGAGAAUAUAUGAUUGGUGUUAACCUUUAUAUUUUGCAGUUAGACUGGUAUGGGUGUUGGACACUAAGAUUAUUAUCUGUUUGUUGAUGGCACAUGAGGGAGAGUAAGAAUGAGAAAGUAUGGCUUCUUUUGAUUCUGUGUUUUGUGCUUGAUCUUCUUCAUAUGGCUUGGUUUUAACAAGAAUGUACUCAUCUUGCUUUAUUGAAGAAGGACCACAUGCAAUAGGAAUUUGUGGCAAGGGAUUGCGAAGAAAAUAUAUGGGGUCCAAAUUCCAAACUCACCAUCACAUAUUGUAGGGAACAUAUAUACUUAAUUGCUCACGAUUCUUCCAAACUCACUACCCCCACACUCUUGUUCCAUGAUUUUCAUGCUCAUCUCUAUCCAAUGCUCCCAAUAAUAAAGGGCCAAGCUUUUCAUAGCAGAUUUUUAUGUGAAUUUACACUAAUUUGUAAGCUAACUUUUUUUUUUAUAAAGUUUUCAUGUUAGACAUAUCUAUAUAUGUAAUUUGACAUUUCAGCUAGACUGACACUUUAAAUAACAACAAUUAUCUAUCAUCACAUGAAAAAACCUUAAACCCUAAACCUUAAAAAUGUAUAAUAACUUUAUAUAGUGUAAUUAAUUUGAUUAUGGGGAAUGAAAAAAAGGCAAAUUUAAGGAACUUUGAGUCAGAGGAGACAAAAGGGUGGUUUUGAGUGAUAUUAACAACAGCUUUUUUGCCAUUGAUGUGGUUUGAGUGAUGAAGAUGAAGCCCAUUAUGACUGUUAAUUAGUAAACAAUGUGAAGAAGAUAAAGUGAAAUAUGAGUUUUUGUCUUCUUGCCUGCAAUGCAAGAAAUAUGAAAUUAAUGAAAAUAUAUAUUCUCCCAUUUUCUUGAGCUACCAAUUUAAAGCUAUAGGUGAUUAGGAAUAAAUUUGUUAUUUUGAGAUGAGAAAGACCCUUUCCAGAUAUGUAGAUGCACACUCAUUCAGAUGUCACUUACAUUCCCAUUACUAUUUUAAUACCACUUUCUUAUCAUAUAAUAUAAAACCAGCAAUUCAAAAG
This 1599-nucleotide long non-coding RNA is filed under the name Phaseolus vulgaris (common bean). RNAcentral describes it as "long non-coding RNA (PVUL_LNC004770)". The record is from RNAcentral. Lineage: Eukaryota; Viridiplantae; Streptophyta; Magnoliopsida; Fabales; Fabaceae.